RNAcentral lists this ribosomal RNA (253 nucleotides) under uncultured bacterium. Its description in RNAcentral is "partial 16S ribosomal RNA". It matches the Rfam family "Bacterial small subunit ribosomal RNA", at positions 524 to 776 of the family's 1533-position model. The record is from RNAcentral.
UACGUAGGGUGCGAGCGUUAAUCGGAAUUACUGGGCGUAAAGAGUGCGCAGGCGGUUUUGUAAGCCGGAUGUGAAAUCCCCGGGCUUAACCUGGGAAUGGCAUUUGGGACUGCAAGGCUUGAGGGCGGCAGAGGAGACUGGAAUUCCUGGUGUAGCAGUGAAAUGCGUAGAUAUCAGGAGGAAUACCGAUGGCGAAGGCAGGUCUCUGGGCUGACACUGACGCUCAUGCACGAAAGCGUGGGUAGCAAACAGG